RNAcentral lists this long non-coding RNA (1209 nucleotides) under Mytilus galloprovincialis (Mediterranean mussel). Lineage: Eukaryota; Metazoa; Mollusca; Bivalvia; Mytilida; Mytilidae. The record is from RNAcentral.
UGUGUGUGUGUGUGCUUAAGAUUCAAUUCUAAUAUGACGUGCUUCUUUUGCUUUGUGAAUAAAUCAAAUAAAACGUGUUUUCACAUGCAUAUAUUGACUACUGCAGAGUUUUAUCAAAUUGGCAUGUAUUUAAUAUAUUUUAAAAACUUAAAACACUUCUAAACUCUUAAAUGAUGCACAUGUUGUUACUUAUUCAUUUAUUAUGACUGAAAGGUGCUGCAAUUCCAAGUUGACGUAUUUGACCUAGACACGAAAACUGAAUUGAGUUGGCUUUUCAGAACUCCUCCCUCUGUAUGCUUGUCGCUAUAAAAUAACUUCAAUUUAUUUUACAAGUGUUCGUCGCUGGGUUACUGUAUUUUUUAUCGUGAUUUAGAAAUAUUUCAUUUGAUGCGUGAAGAUAUGCAUGCGUAAUACAGAUUCAAAAUACAACGCAUAUGUCAGUCUCCACAUAUACCGACACCUGUUUGGAACAAUGUACACAUUCUUUGAAUUUGGAACAAGAAAUUAUGAUUUACUCUUAAAUUGAUUUGUGGAGAAAAAAUUAAUCACAUAUAAACAAUGGACUCUUACAGUUUAAUAUGAUAAACCGGUAAUUUCAGUGACCCAUCUUGUUGACGAAUUCCCCGACUGUAUUUUUGUUUCUUUUGUGUUUUUUUGUGUGUGGUGUUGUUGGUUUUUUUUUUGGGUUGUUGUUUUGUUUUUUUUUUGGGGGCGGGGGGGGGGGGUUACCUUAUGUUCUUCGAGAAUGAGAAUAUCUUAUCCCGACGGACUUUAGAACAAUUAAAAACAAAGGCAAAGCAAGUACUUUUGAAAUAAUAUAUUUAUUUGUGACCUAAUAUGUAAGCGAAGCAAUAUCUAUGCAGGUGUGUUCAGUUUAUUUUAAGACGUUGUUAGUUUGUAACUUCUUGUUUCAUUGGAAAGGGCAGUUAUUUGGUACGUGGUGAUUUGAUAUGCCUGUUAUCGGAUGUGCCUGUUUAAUAUUUGUUUUACGAGGUUUUGGAUAGUUUGCCAUAUCAGUUUAUCUGGAAACUUAUAUCUGGCUCCUGGAGAAAUAAGCAAUAUAAUUUGCAUUUCAAAAUCCCAAUAUAUAAUGUACAGUCAGACGGUUCAGAUAUCAGGUUCAGAUAUCAAGAAUCCAGAGAAUGUAGAAUGGGAACGACCAAAUGCCUUUUCCGCUCUCGGUCUAUUAUCUUUCUGGACAUAAACGGU